This is a long non-coding RNA of Rhea pennata, 1673 nucleotides long. RefSeq lists it as uncharacterized. NCBI's taxonomy places the organism in Eukaryota, Metazoa, Chordata, Aves, Rheiformes, Rheidae. The record is from RefSeq and is a predicted model, not a curated record. The transcript is spliced from 3 exons.
CUCAGUUGGAGUCUCAGUGGUGUUUAACUAAUCCACUUUGAAUUUGUGCUUUUAUUUGUAUUGAUUUCAAAGCGCUAAAGAAAAAGCCCCAAAUCUCUCAAAGCUAACUUAAAACACUCAUUUUUAAAUAAAUCCCAUAUAAACAUUACUAAGACAUUUCGUACCAGGCUCCCCAAGGUGUGCAGAAGCACCUGGGUUCAGCCCGUGGCUGCGGACAGGAGAUACCAGCUCUGUCUGAGACCCGGGAACGGUCCUUCCCCAGGCGAGUCCCGCUGCUGACUGCGCUGAUGGCCGCUGUGCUCAGUGGUGGCAGCGAUGGUGCUUUUAAUCAACGUCACUCAACAAUUUGUCUUCAUGCAAAUGCAUUUUGCUGCAGAAUUCAGCAUAGCCUGUCACGAGUCAACCAGUGGUGGUUUACAGAAGUUAGCUUUGGAAUUGGACAGCCCUGGCUGGAAAUACAGAGCAAAUAAAGCUGCAUCCUUCAAUCCAGAGGGAGAGGAGGAUACUCCUUGCUGCUCUUUUCCACUUGCACCCCAAAACAGCCCAGCUAGCGCAGCGGUGUCCUGGAAAGACAUUGCACAAAUCAGUUAUUCUCCUGCCUGCUGUCAGCGCUCCCACCACAAAGCCUCCUGCUGCCGCUCUCGCAUGCAUGAGAUGCGCUGACAUUUUCUUGUCUCCUGUCUUUCUGAGCUUGCAAAGAACAUAGCCCAGCACAGCAAGAAAUCCUGCCAUCCCUGCUCAGGCGGGAAAACAGUGAUGUUAAUGGGCUUCUUCAAGCAGAAAAUGUAAUUUUGGCUUAAAGAGUGUCAAAUGGUGUCUCGUACGCGUGCAUGCGGGUAAUCUGGAGGAGAAAUUGCAGCAGGCAGCGUUGCCAAGGAGGAAUUGGCAUUGUGAGCUUCUGAUUAAUUCUCCUGGGGCAGCGUCUGGAGUGUUUCAAGCGCAACAUUACAGCGACGCUAAAAACAGAGCACUGAACUUUGUGUGUCGGAAAGUGGCUUUGCUCAUUCCUCAGAACUACUCAUGUAAGUAUAAUUGCUCUCCUGUAAUCCUUUUUCUUUCAGAAGUAGGAUGGGAAGUGUAAUUCAGAUCGUUAUCUCCAGGAAUUUGGGUUUUGAAGGCUCCAAAGUAGCAAGCAGCGGCCUUGCAAGCUGCUUAAUCGACAGCCACGCAUACAGAUGAGGCCAGGUUCAGUAGCAUGGCACGUGCAAAUCGCUGCUAAGCUCUAGGGAAGCUGCUCUUUGGGGGACGAUCGGUGCCACUAACCACGGUAACGAAGUCCGACGGACGGAAGUUUGCCAGGAUUCUCCCCGUCCCGUAGAGCCUGCGCGGCUCCUGCCCGCAUCAUCUACGGGACGCAACCCAGGCUUGAAGAUGUUUUGCAGGGAGCUCCACUCCUGUGUAGCGCUGAGGAUCCCAUCCAGGAGGGAAUGCAGCUAAGGAAAAAAAAAAAAAACAGAAUUACAGCAGAAGUCACCUUUGAAGUGCAACAGCUUCCCAGCGACGGGGCGGAAAGGGCUCUUCGGGCGAGCACCUUUACCCAGCGCCCCCGGCCCGGCAGGGACGAGGGGCUGAGGCCUCGCGAGCGCUGCUGGGGGUCAGGACGCCCCCGGGGACGGAGAGAGAGCGCGGAGGCGACCCACGGAGCGGGCCGCUGCCCCCUCGCCUGCCCCCUU